Molecule: long non-coding RNA, 3346 nt
Filed under: Ananas comosus (pineapple)
Lineage: Eukaryota; Viridiplantae; Streptophyta; Magnoliopsida; Poales; Bromeliaceae
Description: long non-coding RNA (ACOM_LNC022136)
Source: RNAcentral
CAGAGAGAGAUUUUUCGUGUCUAAAUUACUUUUUAUAUUUGUUGUUGCGUUGUAGAUUUAUCAAAGAGCGUAUUGGCGAGGUCUUAUCGUCGUGGUUGUUUUCUACGAUCGUUCUUAUUUAGUUUCCUCCACAUAAGAUCCAGUUUUCGCUACGUUAAGGAUUUUAUAGGUGCAAUGGUUGUCCCUAAUGAGUGUGAGAUGAAAUUCCUUGCACGCGCGUAAAGUUGGUUUUAUAUCGCAAGUCUUGCAAAGAACGGUGAUAUGCACAGAGAGAAGGGAAAGGAAAAGAUCUAAUCUCAGUUGCAUAAUAUAGACUUGCAUUCUUGAAAGACUUUAGUGAACGCACUCUUCUCUUUCUGCUUUGGUUCUCUUCCUAGCGAAAAGUAUAAGAUGGAAUACCAAAAAAAGGAAAUAUUAAUAGGAGAGUAAUACACACUUAUGGCUUGAUAAUGUAAGGUUCAGAGCGCAAAGCUUUAGGGAUGGGAUGAUUAGAAAGCUACGUUCUACAGAUAUUGAAGCACUUUCCUGUUGUCUUUCUGAGACUCCUUCUCAUCACUUGGAUAGCGAAAAAGCUUGUUUAAGUAAGCUUCAUGGGCUCUAAUGGCAAUAUAGCGUAGUCGAUGCACUGGGUAGAAAAUCAAGAACUGCUCGUGUUAUUACACUCUCUAAAGGAUUUGGCACAUAAUCCUAGUUGAUGUUAGGCUGUGUAUAAUUAUCUUAGUUAUGACAUGAAUCAAUCACUAUGAGGUAUUAUUGGCAAUUGGUCCCCGACGGUCUAGGAUUUGUGGAAAGAGAGCCUUGAAUCAAUGAGAGGUUUUUUUAAUGCGUGCAAAUUGAGUAAUAGACUGGAUUUGCCCUGUGCAAUCUAAGGUUGAAACGUAGUUCUUGUAGUGGAGAUCGUCGGCAUUCGAGAGAACUCCGUUUCAAACCAGAGUCUGUGUGGUAGAGAAGUGAAGACACAGGUCUCCACUUUAUGAUUCAUUUUCGCUAGUGAAAACUACUGGGUCGGAUUAUCAAUUCGCGAGCUGAUGACUCCAGGCUACUCGCUUCGUGUCGACAUCAACGUAGGUGCGGUCGGGAUCGCUAUCCGAAAAUAUUCGGUAGAACUCGGUCUCCUCAUAGACCGGCUCUCCCGAGAAGACCGGUCUCCUGAGGACGACACAGGCUUUUUAAAAAAAGGACUUUGUGCAAUCCUAGUCUACUUCUAAGUCUUCUAAAACAAUAUAAAUAAGCUAUGUGGUCAUCUAAAAGUUAUAAGGCUUUGAAUAUUACUCUGAUUCUAAACCCUAGAAACUUAUUUUUCUCCGAUUCAAUGCUUAGAUUCACAUAAUGAGUUUUCUAAUAACCAACAUCCGGCUUGAUUCUUCGUUUUACUCGAUACCUCUUAGAGAAUCAAGUAUGGUUGAUUAAAGGUGAACCCUCAUAGCUUAUGCUAUUCAAAGGUUUAAAUCAUCACAAAUCUUUGAAUUCUACAAGCUCCGGAAGGAGGUUCCGCGUGGAUCUCGCGUGAAGCCGAGGAUCGGUGGACCGCUUCGAGGAGUUAGGCUUGACGCUGCGAGGAAGUUGCAGGCAAAGUCGAUUGGUGGAUUCCCAUCCGAUCGAGGACGGGCGAAGAUCACCAUCAACAAGAAAUCAGUAAAUUGAGUUCGUGUAUUUUGUCGAAUCACUUGUAUCAAGUUUUCUUAGUGAAUUUUCUUUGCGUGAUCGUCCGUGGGUUUUACUCCGAAUUGGAGUUUUCCUACGUUAAAUUCUCGGUGUGCUGUUUUGUUUUCCCUACUUUAUUUUAUUUGCAUCGAGAUUUUCGAGUUUGCCGAUUUACACCUAUUCACCCCGCCUCUAGUGUUACUUACCUUUUAAUCCUCGGAUCCAUAUCUUACAAGUGGUAUCAGAGCAUUUUAUAUGAGAGCAAGGUCACCUAAGUGAACUCCGACGGCGGCCCGUACGUGUUUAAGACUUCCGUACGUGGUGUUGAGUUAUCCAUCACUCCUGAUACAAUAGCGUCGGUGCUAGUAUGGAAGCUAAGACUGAGUGAGUGGAAUAUCUACAAGCUGGGUUCGACUCACUUCGCGAUUGGAAUCGUGUAGUGAGCACUAUUUGCAUGCCGGGUACCGAGUCGAACGCAUUAUGUUAUGUCCAAAAAUUUCAAAAUGGAGUAUCGUUUUUUAAACUUCCGUGUUUGCUACAACAUUCUGCCCUCUAGCAAACACGAAGAUUCUGAGGUGGGAUUCGUAUUUUGUAUAUGUAUCUCUUGGGAAAGGCCAGAUAUUGUGCGUGCAAAGAAUAUUAACGAUGAAUAUCCGUUUCUAAUCUGGCGGAGAUGCAAAAGACAUCAAAAAACUUCUGGACAAAAUGAAGGCUGCCAUUUCCAAUUGAUAAUCAUGAGGAUUCUGCGACUUCGUGAUGUGGAUGUCCGUGUACAUCUUAUGAGCACAGUUUGGGUCGGAUAAAUGAACGACAUUUUGUGGAAGUCCUCGUGCACGCUUCGUACACCGUCUCAAGCGUGCUUCUUCCCCUCCUGCAAGCUCCACCUCCUGCUACUGCUACUUGUUCACUCCUUCUAUGGCACAUUCUGAGGAAGAUAUCUCCGUUUUCCUCGGUAAUGUGAGGCAGCAACGUCUAUCUGAGGAGCUUCAGAAGUUGUCUUGCGGAACAAGCUGCGAUUUCGUAGGAUGUGAGCAAGAUGAAGCGUUUAUUGAAAUGACUUUUUGACAAGUUUAGGAUGUUGCCGGCAGAUUUACCUCCAGGGGAUGCUUUCUACUAGGAGUUACCGUUUUCCUUCUUUUGUCAUUUUUGCGCUUUCUCGACAAAAAGGGGAGAUGGCGUUGGUUGGUCUUGAUGAUGAUGAUGAUGCAAUUAUCUCUUUGAUCUGAUGAUAUUUGAUGCUUUGAUGAUAGAUGUAUUAAGCUAAGAUGAACUUUGUUUAGUUAGUGCUUUAGUGUUUGACUUAGUGUUUAGGUGUUUGACUAUGAACUAUUGAAUUAUGAACUAUGACUUGAUAGUUUGUUAUGAUCUUGAUACUUGAAUCUUGAUUAUGCUUUGAAAUGUUUUGCAUGGAAUAUUCAAGACUUCAAGACUCCAUGUCUAAGUCAUUGAGUUUGUAUUAAGGUUGUAAAAAUGUAAAUUUCUUUAUUGGAUUGAUCAUGCAGGAGAUUACGUUUGAUGAUUGCGAUGAUCUUCUUUUAUGAUUUAUUAAUUGUAUACGAACUUUGUAGUAUAUUUUGUCAGCGAAAUCCCAAAGGGGAGAUUGUUAAGGAUUUUUAUAGGUUGGCGAAUUUCGUAAAGUUGUUUGGAGUCUUGAAGAGUUGAUCGCAGAAGUUUUAAAGAAAAGAUUCAAAGUGAAGAAAUA